Molecule: long non-coding RNA, 14928 nt
Filed under: Lynx pardinus (Iberian lynx)
Lineage: Eukaryota; Metazoa; Chordata; Mammalia; Carnivora; Felidae
Source: RNAcentral
CUCCCUUGAGACCCUGAACUACAGAUGCUCGGAGCAGGAGCAGAUCUUUAGGCAACAUGGCCCAGCCUCACACUCCUGGCCUGACCCCAGUGCUCAAUGGCCUCAGAUCUAUGGUCAUGGCCUCUGAGUAAACCGGACAGGUUCCUUCUGACAACAGCUGCCAGCUGGUCCCAGGUCACAAGCAUCCACCUAACAGGGUCACGUGAGAUUCUGCACAUGUGAGACCAAGGGAGAGCCAUUACCACACUCAGAAACAUACACGAGGGCAGGCGUGCAGCCCUAACUAGCAACUCAAAUUAAUUCCACCAAUAACUAAACACCUACUGUGUGCCUCUUGGUAUUCUUGGCAGCCCCAGGGCUAAGACAGCUUGCCUGAGCUGGUCUUCUCUCACAUUAACUGAAACGGAAGCUUCUCUGUCCCACUUUCUACAUCCAAAACACACUGCGGGGAUUUGGGGAUGAUGUGGCUAAAUUUAAAAGCAAGUAUCAGCCUUUUAAAAAAAUGUGCAAGAAGCAUUUGGAGCUCGUCGGUUUGCCCUCUCCCCCUGGAAACCAUCCUCACCACCUCCUCUGGCUCCCAACGUUGAGGCCAUGAAAAACAAAUCGGCCUCCAGCCCUCAUUUCAGACUCAGACCUCUCCGGUCCCUGCGCUGGGACGCUUGCGGGAGUGACUAAUUCCCGUCUGAGUCCUGGAGAAGCCUCAGUUCCUCCGAUGUUAGUAGUACCUACUGCUUCAGACAUCAGAUCAUCCAGAUAAAGCGCCCAGCACAGGGCUGACACAGAGUAGGCCCUCAACAAAUGGCAGCUAUUACGACCAUGGCCCUGAUGGAGGGAGCAGAAGGAGGACUCGGGUGCCCAGAGUCCCCUGUCUGUGUCCCCUCUGCUCCUUCCCUCACCAGCCACAGGAGAGGGUCAUAAUUAACCCGGAGCUAGAGGCCACCAGGUUCCCAUGCUCUGUGCUGAAGCAAAGCCACCCUUGUUUCUAGACUCUACCAUCCUAAAGAGGGACCACAGAGACAGGAUAUGUCAACGGACCGUCCUGGGUAGGAGGCCUCGAAACGGGUCCUGAGUGAUUUCAUCAGGCUGCAAAGGCUGCUGGUGUGCACGGUAUGUGCUCUUGGUUCAGUAAAGCACAGCAGAAAAUUACUUUGUCAAUCACCUCUGAGGGAAGGGGGUCUGGCAGAAGCUUAGGAUUUCAUUGGUGCUGCCUUUGGAGCCUCAUCUUUCGUACAGACUAUUUUUAGCAUAAAUAAUGUACACUCUGUUAUAUUGUCACAACUGACAGAUGAGCAUUCUCGUGGCACCCACAGACCGCUCGUUCACUUGGGAAAAUGUUAGAAAAUGUUAAAUGAGUUUCUCCCGACCACAGCACAGAGAGCUGCCACGUACCACGUACCGUGACCUGCACGACAGAUGCCUCUCUGCCCUCUGACUCGUGUCAUAGUUGUUCCGGCCUCUGAACUCUGCAGCCGGGAUUCAGACUCAACUCAGGGCAGUGCCAUCUUAAUCAAAAGCUCCACCGGGGGGUAGCUGAGCCCAGGGAGUGCAGUUUGACAAAGCAUUUUCAAAAAUGUAUAUUGUAGGAUAAGAGGUGAUGGGAUGAGAAGCCCAUGAUUACUGGGGCCUGGAAAACCACCUGUGAUUUUCCAUCAUCCUGUCUCACAGCCCCGGUGCCCUCCGUGGUGUCACCCCAGGGGAGCCACAGCUUGGGUCCAGCUAGAGGGCAAGAAACUCAGUGUGCCUAUCACACAGGAAGACCUACAUCACCCACUUCUCAGGUCCUCCUCAGAUUAAGGAACUCUUUGUUUUCUGAGCUGGUUUGACGUUUUGUCUGUGCUUCGUCUCGUCCUGCACUCGCUGUGCUCCUCUGACUGUGUCCCUGCACUGUCGCACCCAGCCCACUAUAUUCUGCCCAUCACCCCUCUCCCUCUCCUCACCCAGCUAGUCCCGCUCACUCUUUAGGGUUCUGCGGGAAUGUCACUUCCAUAGCCAGGCCAUCUCUGGCCACCCAACUUCAGACAGGUCUCAUUUAUUUGCUUUCAGAGCACCCUGCGUUUCUCCUGCACAGCAUGAUAACAGUUUGCAUUUAUUGCUGGUUUGUCUCCCUUGUUUGCGUGCAAGUUCCCCAAGAAUUUUGUUUGCCACUAUCUGCCCGCAUCCAGCACAAGGCCUGGCCCAGAGUCCAGUGCAGAGUAGAGACACAUUAAGUAACACUCACUGAGUCGAAUGAAUGAAUGAAUGAAUGAAUGAAUGAAUACCAAGAGGGACCCUAAGAAUAGUCUAGAUUGAAAGCCUCCAGAAUUCUUCACAUUCUUUAAUCCAUACAUUCCAUUCAUCCAUUAAACAGGGAGAAUCUUUUCUCACCUAAAACAAGUGACAUGCACUGCUUUUUGUGGAAAAAGGGGAAAAAAAAAAACAAAACUGAGCAACUGCAACUGUCUGUCCUUUGGGAUGACUGAGGAAGGGCCCAGGGGAGGGAAAGACCCAAAAGUAUCUUCCUAGACACUGAGAAAAGUGCAAGCAGAUCUACGCAAAACCACUUUAAGUUUUGCCUCCCUCAAGAAGUAACUACUGUACCAAAUUUGGGGACUUCCAGUCUGCUAUAGACAAAUGCUGAGGGGUCCCUUCUCCUGGGAAGCCUCUCCUGACCUCCCCAGCCUGCUGACCUCUCUGCUGCACUCCCUUGCACCUUGAUGAGUCACCACAUCUGGCUCCUGGCACUCCCCACCCCCCCCCCCCCCCCGCCCCGUGCUCCCUGCAGAGGUGGGCUCACAGCUCUACGCAGCAUCGCCACGACUGGACCCAUGGCUGGGCAUGCUCAACAAGGCUCCUUGGUCCAUUGCUUCAUCGCGAUUCUAGGAGUAGUAUUUUUCAACAGGAAGAGCAGAUUAAGAAAGGUACUACAGCAUAACAUAGUUUCUAGAAUAACGAUGAUGUAGGUACAGAUAGAGAAGAAAUAGUGAGAGACAGUGCCAGCUGCCUAUUCCAGAACAGCUUUGAAUCUAUCCAGCUGAGCCACCGUGUGUCCCCGUUGAGUGCUAGACACAGUGGUGGGUACCGGGUGGUGGAGGGGGCGUGCACAGAACAAGCAGGCCCAGGCCCUGCCUGCCAGAGGCAGCCAGUGGUUGACACGAAAGACAGGCGCUUACAUUCCUGCAACCUGAGGCGAGCUGUGAAGAGACCAGGCAGGACAGUGGACAUGCCUAGCACAAGUUUCUCCAGCAAGUCUGCCCUCAGCACCGACAUCUCUAGAACAUUCUUCACUCCCUGAGGGUGGAAAAACUACCAAAACAAAAAUUACCAAAGAACAGGGUUGCCAGGCAUGUGAGCAAGUGGACCUUGGAGGACAGGAUUAAGAGAAGAGGCCCCAGGCCACGCCUGUGGGAGACAGGGGACGGCAGCAGAGUGGGAGGGGAAGAGUGGUCCAGAAGCCUUGAGGCAAACCGUUCCUUGUAGAGUCAAGGACGUCAGAGCUUGGUGGGGCCCAGAGAUCCACCUCCAGGAGAGAGGGAAAGAUAAAACCCCCAGCUAUCUCACAAGGCACAGAGAUGCAAAAAAUACUAAUGGGGGAGGUUCGGGGGAGGCCAGGAGAGAGAGAAAGAAAGAGAGAGAGAGAGGGGGAGAGAGCUGUCUGGGAAAGUUACUGCCCAGAUUGUUACUGGCCUCCUAUGAGUGGACGCACCCUUGCCCCACAGCCCUGCACAAGUCACUAGUCUCUUGUGACAAAUCACUAGCAAGAGCUGUGGACGGUCCCUGGUCUUAUCCUACUUGCUUGCUACCAAGUUAGCCUGCCACAGUGUUCUGGAUGUGGGCAGAAGACAUGAGACUCCCGGCCAGAAACACAGCCCUGCACUCCACAGGGUCCAGCAAGCAGCACGAGCUUCGCAUUUGCCUGCCCAGGUCCCGGGAGGGGGGAGCAUGGAGGGGCCCAGGCAGAUGCUGCAGGCACAGUGGGUUUGCUUCAUAGCUAAGGGGAUCCAAGCUUAGGAAACCUGAACUUUUUAAAAUGGGCAACAGCCUGUCUGACUUUGGUCCUAGAGGGAGACAUUAUCUUCAUUGUGUUGGACAGUAAAAAUACUUGCUACUGCCCAUCACCCCAGAGGGAGACACAAUCUGUAUCUUCUAAGGCUGUUUGCUACACAAAUAUCCCAGAAGACAGAAUCAAGAACAAAGGCCAAGAUGGGCAAAAAUGCAAGGAACAGAGGAAGAAUUGUCUCGCAUCACUCUCAAACUACAGAGAGAGAGAGUCCUAGCCCCCCGCAACAGCUCUGGCCUCAUCCCUGGGAGAAGCACAGGACAGUGCAGGUGAGCGAUGCUUUGUCAAAGGAAAGUCCUUGAACCUGAUCUGGAAGCAUGGCAGAGACAAUCUCACAUGGCAGACUGGCUCUUUGUGCAGAAUGCCUCCUCCAAAUUCCAUUCUAAAACAUGGAUCAACGAGGGUACAGAGAAGCAAGGAACCAUAUGUGAGCAAACAGAAUUCCCUCUGACCUUCCCCAGGGGAAAAAGACGGUGUAGGGUUUUUUCAGGAUUGCCUAGAAUCUGAGUCACAUUGGACGCCAUUCUCUGGCCACGGAAUGAGCAUUCCUUAUUGACCCCAAUCUCUUUUGACUUUGUCUGUGGCACACCUCCCUCCCUGCCCCCAGUAAUGGCAUUUCCUAAAGUUAUCCAAUUAAAGCCUCAAGGAUGCUGCCCCCUCCCAGGUUCACGCUUGAAAGCCAGAGGGGAAGGGUGCCUGCAAACAUGCCUCCCUCCUCACAGCAGACAAGUGGUGAGAAAUUUCAAUUGAAUCAUAUCUGGCUUAUCUUCUGCAUUCACUGAGGAGAUAACUCAUUCACAAAUCUUGCACUUAGAAGACAAGUCAGGGACACCUGGGUGGCUCAGUCUGUUGGGCAUCUGACUUCAGUUCAGGUCAUGAUCUCACGGUUCAUGAGUUCAAGCCCCACAUUGGGCUCUGUGCUGACAGCUCAGAGCCUGGGGCCCGCUUUGAAUUCUGUGUCUCCCACUCUCUCUCUCUGCCCCUCCUCCAUUCAUGCUCUUUCUCUGUCUCUCUCUCAAAAAUAAAUAUUUUUUUAAAUUAAAAAAAAAAAAAGAAGACAGGUCAGAUGGCCAUUUCUCUGACUCCUCUGAUCAUUUUGCCUUUUCCUACAGGGGCAGGAAGGACCACUCAGGUCACUUUUGGACCUAGAAACUCCCAAUCGUAAGUCGCAGUCCUGAACCCCACCGUGUCCUUUCUCACAGAAUUUAUGGCAGUGAGUGCCCAUGCCGUGUCACAGGAAACCCAUCUGAGCAGACUUCUCCUAGGGUCUCUCUAGAGGUUUCCACGAGCCCCUAAUCUUCUCCCCCUCUCCCAGGAUCUCUUAAAUAAAUGUUACAUGAUCAAUUACUGCAUUGCCCUAUUUAAUUGAUUUAUAUGCACUUUAUAAAGCUUUACACUGAACAGGAAAUACAUCUAUCAUAAUACUUGAUUGAAUUGGAGACAGGAGAAGGGAGAAGGGGAAUUAAAAUUUAUUGAGCACUUAUUAUGUGCCAGGUAGAGCACAAGGUACUUUACAUACAUUACUGACUUUAACCCCCGCAGCUGCUGUGAGGGAGGUAUUCUUCCCUAUUUAGUCAAGGAGGAAACUGACAUCCACAGAGGCUAGGGGACUUGCCCAAGGUUACAAAGCUUCUAGAAGAAGCAGAAUUCAAUUGUAGCUCUGGUUCCAAGCUAACAUAUACUUCAGGAUUUAACUCUCAAGUGUUUCUGGGGCACCUGGGUAGCUCAGUCAGUUGAGUAUCUGACUUCAGCUCAGGUCAUGAUCUCACGGUUUGUGAGUUCGAGCCCCGCACUGGGCUCUGUGCUGACAGCUCAGAACCUGGAGCCUGCUUCCUAUUCUGUGUCUCCCUCUCUCUCGGUCCCUCUCCCCCUCAUGCUCUGUCUCUUUCUCUCAAAACUAAAUAAACGUUAAAAAUUUUUUUUUUAAAAACUAUCAAGCGUUUCUAUAAAAAAUAUGAAUAAGGGAUAUAACCCUUAUUAUAGUAUUGUUUCAUUGAGAAAAUAAGAUUCAAUUUACAUUCUUUCUUCGUACCACAUCUUUUGCUAUAACCGAAUGUGCCGUGUGCACCAUUUCACACUGAAGGGUAAUAAGUGGUGUUGGGAGAGGUGAAGAAGGGUGCUGGGGGAUAAGGUAGGCAUGUUUACAAAGCUUGAGAGUUUUCUCUCUAAGCACUGACACUUUUCAAAAAUUUUUUUAGCUAUGAAAAAACUCUUAAGCUAUUUCUAUUCAGUACCAUUGUGGAAGGGAGUAGAGAACAUUCAUUUAUUCCACAGUGUUUGUGGGAGACAACUCACUGCGUGUGGGCCAGGAAGGAAGCAAAAAAACAAGCUGCUCAGAGUCCCUUAGAGCUUGUAUUCUGGAAGGUGGAGUGAUACUCAAAUCUGAUACUCAAAUCUGCAACCAUUAGGUACGACCUUGAGCAGGCAGAACAGACAUGGGUCCCAGCGCUGGCAGAGUCCAGGGGAGGGGACAACUGAUCUGAGACUCAAGUGGCAAGGAAGACAAGCCCUGUGCCUUCCCUUCAAGACACAGGCUGAGUGCCUUCAAUUCAAUCACCUGGAGCCCCAAGACCAAAGCAAGGCUUGGAGUAUUAGUCUGGGUUCUCCAGGCAGAUCCAGGGUGAUAUAUAUACAGAGAGAGAUACAUAAAGAUAAGGAUGGAGAUAGAGGUAUUAUAAAGAAUGAUAAGAAAUUGGCUCCUGAACUCAUAGAGGCUAAAUGCCAAGAUCUGUAAGGUGAUGAGCUGGAGACCCAGGAGAGUGUAAUGCCACUCCAAGCCCAAGGGCCAGAGAACCAGGAGAGCAGAUGGUAUACGUUUCGGUCUGAGUCUAAGUCCAAAGAUAGGCAAAGGCAAAUGUCCCAGUUCAAAGACAGUCAGGAAGAAAAGAGUUCCUCCUACUUCAAGGGAGGGUGAGGCGUUUUGUCCUAUUCAGGCCUUCAACUGAUUGGAUGAGGCCCACCCAUGUUGAAGAAGGCAAUCUGCUUUACUCAGUCUACUGAUUCAAACGUUAAUCUCAUCCCAAAACCUUCACAUGCCCAGAAUACACCCAGAAUGAUGUCCAACCAAAUAACAGGACACCCUGCGGUCCAUCAAGUUGACACAUAAAAUUAACCAUCAUACUUGGGAAAGUAUUUACCCCUUUUCUAAAUCCAACCAAAGCACUGAGUUCUGUGGGUUUGCGUCUGUGUUGUAGUAUUUCUGUCCCUUAUUACCAGAUUGUUUACUGUCUACCACUGGUAGUCGCCAUCCCUGCCCAUAAAAGGACCUCUCUUCACUUCUAAUUCAUUCCGGGUUUUAAAACCAGCCUGCUACUCUUGCUGCGGUUUAAGAAUCUUGAACGAGUCCAGAGACCUCUGGGUAAAAUGCUCGAGAUGUAGAGCAACCACUGUGACAUCUCUCUUAUCCUCUCAGGGGAACCUUAUGUUUCUGUGCUGAUUCUCAGAGCUGUGAUAUAGAUAAGGAAGUUACUAGCUAAUAUGACGACUUCCUGGAUCAGUUUGAAUCACAAAAAAUUGAAAUAAUUAUGUGAGGACAAGUCAUAGGCAGGGUCAUACUCCCAGCUACCAUGAUGUCAGGGGGUAGUUUGGUAUUCAGGAAUUACAAAACACAAGAAACGUGAAAACAGGUAGCUAAGUGAAACUGAUCCUCCCAGCUUUUUGGUCUGUGGAAACUAUCCUCGAAGAAAUAAUUUCCCCCUAAAGCCAACAGAAUGAGUCUUCACUGUGAUUUCUCGUGCAAUAAGCUAGUCAGGUCCCACCAAAGAGUUUCUAAAAACAAGGGUUUUUUUUUUCCUCAUAAAAGUGAUCAGAACGUUCAGUACCUAACACAAAAAAAGUAGCAACCGUUCUGUUUGGCACUGUUUUAUCAAGUAUGAGUGUCAAAUGUUUUACAGCUCAAAUUAACAACAAGGAGCUAUAAUUUUUGUGUUUGUUUGUUUAAAAGACCAGCAGAGAUUUUUCUUUUUGCUGUUUAAGCUUCAUUUAAUUCAAGCUCCAAUCUGCCCUUCUUUGAUUGCAUUUCCAAAUCCUAAAUAAAAGUGAUAACUCUUCCUGCCAAUUGUAACAAACUGCUGGUGCCAGUUAUUGCUUUUUGAAAAAAAAAUAAAAAAAAUAAAAUAAAUAAAAAACAACAAAAAAAGCAAAGCAAAAAAAAAAAUCUUUUAAUACUUAGCUGACAGCUUUAUCCAAAAGCGGGGAGAAAACCCUGGCCUUUCAAAACCACCAGAUAUAUUUGUAACAACCUCUUUACUGAGUUCAUGUAUCUUCUUUAUUGUUCUUCAUAAACAGGCUAUUGGAUCUCUCCAGCUUGCAAUGUGAAAAAUGAAAGAAUUUCCUCCCAUCCAUGCCUCUCUUAUCUCAUAAUUGUUUUGUUCUGAGAGGUAGGGGAGACCUGUAUAAAUGUCUCUGCUAUUUUAUUUGUCCUCUCCAAGCCCAUUCAUGCUUUUCUCCAGGGCUUUUGACUCCUGCUCUGUUUCUGCCUGAACCUCUAUCUGCUUACUGUUCUCUGCAUCAAACCCUGCGAAAGUGUUUGAGAUUUCAUUUCAGAGGGUGAUGCAAGAGAGAUAAGAGUCAAAGGCAUUUUACAGCCACUUUCAGCGUGUCUGUGCUGGAUACGCUGGAGGUAGAGGCACUUAAGUUGCUGCUCACCUGACAUCACAGAGAACACCCUGGUUUGGAGCUGCUACAUCCUCACGUUGUGUGAGCACUCAGCUACAUGCCUCCUCCGAUCUUUCCAGAGAGCCCUGCUGCUGGUUCCUUUGCCUCCUGCUGCUGCAGCUUGCGGGGGCCCCUCCAUUUCUCUGAGCUCCAUUCUUUCCAACCUCCUCAGAAAGCUGAGGGCCUCCCACAACAAGGAUAGCCCUUGUCAAAGACAGACAGUUCUGAGAGCCUGCAGAAGUGGCAUGAGGAGGAGGAGGAGGUGGAAUUUUGUGAAUGUGGUUAAUUGUCCUAAAGAGAGGGGAGAUACGCACUUGAGGAAGAGGUCAGGGAACAGAGUCUAAAAGGGGGAGGAACUAUUUACUAAAACCUGAUUCCUUAAUGACAUGCAACAGAGCAGGUGCCUCCAUCCUGAAGCCCUCUGUGAAAAGGCCUGAGUAUUGGACUAGUUCCCUGUAAAGACUACCAUGAACACUCGUUAGUCAGCUUUUCCGUGAUAAGGCUGUGUAACAAAUAAUCCCAAAAUCUCAGUGGCUUACAACAGGCAUUUAUUUCUUUUCAGUAAUGGGUCUGUGAGUUGGCUGGACUCAUUUGGGCUUGGGUCAGGUCUGCUUUCCCCAUGUCUCUUCAUCCUGGAACUAUGGCUACCCUGGAUGUACUUACAUCAUGGAGUAGGCAGGAGCUCCAGAGGCUAAACAAACAUUCAAAGCCUCAGUACACUCCCACUUCUGUGCACCCGGUUACAUGGCCAUGCCCAAAAUGAGUGAGGCAGGUAAAUAUAAGUAUAUGCCAUCCUAAGGAGGAAGAGAGAGUGAAUAUUGAGUGAAUAUUUGUUCAACAAGAAUCCAGUCCACCGCAAUUACACACACGCAAACGCGCGCACACACACACACACACACACACACUUACAGGGCCAGAAACUACUUCAGGAAUAGUAGGUAUAGGAAUAGCUUGCUCUUCCUACCUGCCCUGGGCUGGUUGGAACAGUCCAACAAAAACAUUUCAAAAUCACAUUUAUAAAAUUUUUAAUAUUUAUUUCUUUUUGAGAGAGAGAGAGCACGUGCGCAGAGGGAGACACAGAAUCCAAAGCAGGCUCUAGGCUCUGAGCUGUCAGCACAGAGUCCGACAUGGGGCUCAAACCCACAAAUCGUGAGAUCAUGACCUGAGCCGAAGUCAGAUGUUCAACUGACUGAACCACCCAGGCUCCUCCAAAAUCACAUUGAUAUAUGUGGACACUUCAGACUGAAAGCAACUUUAAAUGUCAUCUAGUCUUACGUCCACACCAAGGGAAGCUUUUAGUAACACCUCCAGUGAGGAAGAGAUUACUGCCUUCCAGGCAACCCACCCUACACACACACACUCUUCUUCUACAAUGUGUCUGGGAUAUCUGUGUACAGCUCAUAGGUAUCCUUAGGGAUAGCCUUCCCUUCUCCAAGUGAAAGACCCUAAGUUUACUGUCCUCAAAGUCUAUGGUUCCAAGUCACAAUUUCCCCUAGGCAUGUGCCAUUUUGUUAACAUGCUACUUAUGCUCUAACCUCAGCACUGUGCUCAGAGCUCCAAAGCUACAAUAUUUGUGUAAGCAGAGUGGGGAAGUCCUCCCCCUCAUUCCAAGUAAGGAUCAGCAGAGAAUGACAGGUCAUAUGUCUUACUCAGAUUGAGCUUAAAGUCACCUAAAGUCAAGACAUUCUUACAUGUGUUGCUAAACCGUUCAUCAAUCAACUACUUACGGGGCACUUAUUAUAAGACUUGCAUCCUGCUAUGCUGGGGAUACAGUGAUAAACAAAAUUCACAUACAAGGUCCCGACUCUCCUGGAGGCUACCUGGAGAAACAGAUAAUAAGGAAAUAAAGAGGCCAAAAAAUAAGAAAAUUGAAAUACAUACUAUUAAAAAGAAAAGGCAUUGAUAACAUGAGGAGGGAAAAGGGAAAGCUACUUCAGACAGUGGCCGGGAAGCUUCUCUGAAGAGGUGGAUUCCUGAAGCUUGGGGAGAGGGCUGGCCCAGAAGAAAGGGACCCUGAGGAAGCAGCUGGACGGGAAAGGCCGAUGCAAACAGGCCAGGGCGACAGGUGCCUGGUGAGCAGGGAGGGAGGGGCACAGGUCGAAGAGGAGGGGUCAGCAGCUCUGGUUAGCAAGCAGAGAAAGGCGUGAUGUGACCCGGACCCUGAGCAGCAUCUCCAGCCUCCCAUGUGCACGUAUCUGUGCAGUCCUUUGAGGAGGGGAGGCCUGACGGGAGAACUCAACAUUUGCCCCAGCUCAGUUUCUCGUCAUUAAUUGAGGCCAACCCUUCCGCCAACAAGCCAGCUCUCUGUCGCCACUCCCUGCCACCAACACGGGUCAGGCCAGGAGGAAAUGUGAUGGUAAUGAGGCGAACCACAGAGCCCUCAGGCACAUCACCUGAGGUAGAAAAGACAUAAGAUUUUACAGAAGAAAUUUAAGAGCAGGGACAUCAGGAGCCAUGAUUUUCAGGACCAAACAGUACCUCUCCCUAAACAGCCAGUUCAAUGGCUGGGGAUAGACCCUGGGUGAUGAGCAAAGCCACACCUUCAGGGAAAUGCAAGGUGGGCAUCCUCACGGGAGGACCCAGAGCCUGUGUGCAAUCAGUCAGACGCCCCUGGAGUCUUGUCCAGGAGCAAGAGGACUGUGUGCCCCGCUUCUGUGCUCAUGUCGUCGUGACCACCUGCUUGGCAGGCCGCUGCUCUGCUGGGACAGCACUGCUUCCACCUUCUCCGGCAGCCAUCGGCAUGGGCCACCGCAUGGGUCUGGUCCAUACGGAUAGGAUGUGUGAGCCCAGAGGCUUACUGAGGAAGUCGAGAGUCCUUCAAGCGCAGCCCAGUGGUCAAAGGGCUUUGGGAUCCAGACCCUCGGAGAUGAAGGAGAAGCUGUCAGCACAGAUAAGACAGAGGAAGUGCUAUGGACAGAUUUAGACAUCAGGGGACACACUAGGGGACACCUGCCGAUUUGUUACCAAUGCAGGAAGCCCUGGGCAGGAUUUUUUUUUUAGCUCAUGGUGUAAUUCCUGGGUUUGCAUCAGGACACAUAUAUGAGACACAUAUAUAUCUACCCCAACAGGCAUCUUUUUUUUUUUGGUGACUGACCUCCCUCAAGGAGCAAGGAACUCCGGAGAAGGAAGUAAAGACAGAGAUGCACACCUGGGGGCAGACACAGCUCUUGCAGAGGGCAGUGGUACGCAAUGCACUGUGUCCCCAAGGGACGUCCUGUGCCACCAUUUGCCUUUCUCGGUCUCCUCUCCCGCCCAGCCUUAGAGGGACUCUGUCCUUCCUCAUGUUCUAUCCUUGUCCUUCCUAACUUCAGCCUCAUGACCAUAGCCAAAUAACACAAAGACGUCAGCGGUCCGAUCCAAAUUAUUGAGACGGGGGUGUUUCAUGCUUAUUAUCCCCAUUUCAUUUUUCAGAGGGGAAACAGGUUUCCCAUCAAUGUGUAGAGCAUACUCCUAUCUUGAAAACCAUAGAUAUUAAUAUAAUGGGGGAGUGUUUGGACGUGCAGAUGUGCGGAGGGGGAAAUGUCUGAGAGACGGAGCACAGAGGAUUUUUAGGGCUGUGAAAAUACCCCAUAUGACACCGGAAUGGCAGAUGCCUGUCCCAAUCCAUAGAAUGUACAAUAGCAAAGUGAACGCUGAUGUAAACCAUGGGCUUUGGGUGAUAACCAUGUGUCGAUAUGGGUUCAUUGAUUGCCCAAAUGUGCCACUCCAGUGGGAGGUGUUGAUAACAGAAGAGGCUAUGCACGUGUAGGCAUAGGAGGUACACGGCAAGGUUCUGUACCUUCUGCUCAAUAUUGCUGUGAACCUAAAACCUCUCUGGAAAAAAAAAAAAUCUUUCUUUUUCAAAAGCCUGGCAGGUAUCUAUCAGACAGUUUACAGUCACCUGAGUUCAUUCAUUCCCUCAGCCACUUAUGGAGACCUUCUACGCGAUACUCCUUACCAGAACAGAGUAUCAGAAUUUAAUUAAUUUAACAUAAGUGAUUUAAUUUUCUUUCUUCAUUCUCUCUCUCUUUUGGCAUAUCUGCAUUUUCUCAUUUUUAAAAUGAACAUAUAAUGAUAAUGAACCAAAGAGAAAGAGCUUCAAAGCAGGCCUCCUCCACCCACCAGCUCCUGCUUCCUUCGCCCCAGCCCUCACAACUCCAGCUAGGCACCCUGCUUGAGAACCUGCAGAUUCCCACUGUAGCAUUCGGCCCUGGAGUUGGCGCACUGUUCCUGAUCCUGGUAGCCCCUCCAAGUUCAGAGGAAGUCCCGCCCGGCCUCCCUAGCCCCCCAGGAAUCCCCAGGGCUAGGAUUUGGGCAGCUGUGCAGACCCUACCAUCUCACUGAGGUAUUACGGUUCUGAAUUCAUGCAGCACUGGAGAGGCAGCAAAGGAGAUAAACAGAAUUUCUGCUCAAUGAGUUGAUGAUAAUAAUAAAUAAGGCCUUUUCUCCAAAGACUUGAAAUCUGUUGUCUCAUUUCAAUGCACAAAAUUACUCAUUUAGAAACUCCUCCCCACAGACUUGGACUAGGUGGGGAUUAGUAACCGUUAACCCCAUUUUGCAGAUGGGGAAACCAGGGCCCAGCAGGAGCUGGGACUCCCAACCAGUGGCAGAGCAGGUGUCCUGACACCCCAGACAGCACCCGGGUUGGAGAGGGUGCUCUCACCGCCUCGGGCUGGCACUGGAGCAUGUGACCAGAGAGUCAUCGCUGGAUCUUCAAGAGCCUGUGCUGAAUUCUCCACCUGUCCUUCUAGCUGCUUCCUUCCUCUGACUCUGAGCUCCCUGAGGACCUGUCCUCCCAAGACUGAGCAAACUGAGGACAUCUCCUUCGCCUCCCUCACAUGGGAUGUGCUCAGGACAGGGCCCUCCAAAAGCCCCAAUGCUUGGUGAUUGAUGAUGCACAAAUCGGCUGAACCCUGGCAGAAUAACUUCUCUGGUUCAGGUUCUUCUAUUUGCCAGGGAGGCAGAGGCAGCCAUGUGGCUCAGAGCAGGGAGAGGACAUCUUUCUCCUGCUCUGCCUUUGACUGUCAGAGCUUCCAGCCUCGGGUAACCAUGGUAAUCACCAGCAUUAACCACAGCAGUGACAGGAGCCUCAGCAGGCCAGCUCUGACCCACUCCCACUGCAGAUGGCACACCAGCUUCCUGCAACAUGCAGUCCCCGGUUUGCAUUCUUGUACCCCUGCUGCCUGUGCCCAAGGACUGCAAAGGAUGGUCCCUCUCCCAGACCCAGGGGUCGAUGCUGGAGGGGGAAAUGGACCCCAAGCCUCCUGCACCCUUCGCAGGGCCUGGGUCAGAAGUUUGAGAUGUGGUCCAAAAUCUUAGUGACCAUGUCGGCAAUGGCCAGGGCCUAGGGCUUAUGCUUGGGACACCCUGUUUGGUCCUAGCCCUGCCUCUAAAGGGUAGCCACCAUCAGCCAGCCACCGUAGGUAGCCAGCCCAACCUGGACCUGUGGGGACCUCUCAUGGCAGGGUUUAGGGGCAUCCGCAAACAAUCUUCUGCUGCCCUUUACCUAAGGGCCAAGCCAAGAGAGCCACAGCAGAGCUGUUCUUGCCCAAAUUUGGGGUCUAACCACCCCCACUGUGCCCAUCAGCUCCACCAGCCCCAUGUUGAGAUGCUGGGAGCCAGCUCUCCUGUCUCCAGGUCUCUAACACCACCAUACAUCCUGACAACCUGGCCUCACCUCAUGUCCCCAUCCUGCUCUCUCCCAUCAGGCACUAAACUACUUUUCCAGGUAGCAUAGAGCUGAACCGCUCUCCAGAACCCAUGGGCCUAUCCUUUGCAGCUCUGAGGGCCAGACCAGACUCCGCACAGGGAAACAGAAGUGAGGCUCCCUGCGCUUCUCAGGUCUUCAAGUGCUGGGAGCGAAGGACAGCUUCUCUAGGGACCAGCAUCCCUGCCCAAGGCCCCAGAGGUUUGCAAGAGGCCAGAGGCUGCAUCCCUAGUUCAAGGGCUCUGCGAAUGCCUGCCAAACAACGCUAAGGAUUCUCGAGUCUGGCUGCUUCUGAGAAACCUUUAAAUGGAAAAGGGCAAACGAGUGAGCUUCCCAAGAACCCCGAGCCCUGGCUGCCACCCAGGCCGGUCUGCGGGCCUGGGAGCCCAGUGCUGGGGACGGAGAACGACGUGGCACUCCCUCUAGUGGCAAACGUCCCGCACAGAGCCCGGCGUCUCGCCGGCCAGCCUUCCCGGCAGGGCCCUCUCCCUCCGGGACCGCGCGCCGCCCGCCCUUCCCCUCCCGGGGGCAGGCGGUGACCCGCUCAGCA